GACGAACGCUGGCGGCGUGCUUAACACAUGCAAGUCGAACGGAAAGGCCCUGCUUUUGUGGGGUGCUCGAGUGGCGAACGGGUGAGUAACACGUGAGUAACCUGCCCUUGACUUUGGGAUAACUUCAGGAAACUGGGGCUAAUACCGGAUAGGAGCUCCUGCUGCAUGGUGGGGGUUGGAAAGUUUCGGCGGUUGGGGAUGGACUCGCGGCUUAUCAGCUUGUUGGUGGGGUAGUGGCUUACCAAGGCUUUGACGGGUAGCCGGCCUGAGAGGGUGACCGGCCACAUUGGGACUGGGAUACGGCCCAGACUCCUACGGGAGGCAGCAGUGGGGAAUAUUGCACAAUGGGCGGAAGCCUGGUGCAGCAACGCCGCGUGCGGGAUGACGGCCUUCGGGUUGUAAACCGCUUUCGCCUGUGACGAAGCGUGAGUGACGGUAAUGGGUAAAGAAGCACCGGCUAACUACGU
Molecule: ribosomal RNA, 467 nt
Filed under: uncultured bacterium
Lineage: Bacteria
Description: partial 16S ribosomal RNA
Rfam family: Bacterial small subunit ribosomal RNA
Source: RNAcentral